Molecule: RNA transcript, 5225 nt
Organism: Lucilia cuprina (Australian sheep blowfly)
Lineage: Eukaryota; Metazoa; Arthropoda; Insecta; Diptera; Calliphoridae
Gene: Rim
Gene name: regulating synaptic membrane exocytosis protein 2
Exons: 17
Source: RefSeq, a predicted model, not a curated record
UCCAUUAAACUAAAACCAACAAAAUAUUUAAAUAAAUUUAUUAAAAAUUCUUAUUUAAAUAAUUUAAAAGAAACUAACAGUAACAAACUCAAACUAAUCAACGAACUUAUAACAAAAACAAGAAAUUUAAAUAAACUAAAAAUAAUUGUAUAGAUAAAUCUACAAACCCUUAAAAUAAUAAAUUUAUAACAAAAUUUUGUUUGUGAGUUAAGCUUAAAGCCUUUAAAACAUAACAUUUUGAAAAAUUUCCUUAAAACAAGAGAACUUCAAAAAACAUUUAACUCCUUUUUCACUUAUACUACAAACAAAAAUUAUACGUAAUUUAACACAAAAAAAACAAGAACAAUAAAUAAUUAAAAAAAAGUAAAAAAUUUCAUUAAAAACUACAUAACUGACACACUAAUACCAACACGCCACGAAAGGGAAACAAAACCCAAAAAAAAAAGAACGAAAACAUCAUUGUCCAGUGCGUGCAUUAAAACAACAGCUACAUCUACAACAACAACAAUUGCAAGUUAUAUAACAAAACCAUUAAACUACACAAAUUAAACCCAAAUUGUAAAACAAAACAACAAAAUAAUUGUAUUAGUCUUUAAACGGACAAAAUGGACGAACUGCCAGAUUUAUCACACUUAACACCCCAUGAACGAAUGCAAAUUGAAAAUGUGCUCAGGCGUCAGAAACAAGAGGAGGAGCAGCAAAAUGAAAUUAUGCGGCGCAAACAGGAUGAGGUUAUAACAUUGGAAAUGCAAAUCAAACAACGUUCGGAGCAACAGAAAAAAGCUGGUGUUGAACUUGAUGCAACCUGUCACAUAUGCCUUAAGACGAAAUUUGCCGAUGGUGUUGGACACAUAUGUAACUACUGUAAUACAAGAUGCUGUGCUCGAUGUGGAGGCAAAGUGACACUACGCAGCAAUAAGGUCAUCUGGGUGUGCAUAUUGUGUCGUAAAAAACAAGAAUUAUUAUCAAAGACUGGUCAAUGGAUGAAUAAGGGAGCGGUACAACAAGAUGGUUUCAUAAGACGCAAUGAACCGGAUGGCAGUAGUGAUAUUUCGCAACAAGCUAUAGUAGAUCCACAUGAUACACUCGACAAACGACCAAAACUCGAACGAACGCGAAGUGCAGCGGAAAAGGAAAAUCUACCGCUGCAACGUUCGGGCAGUAUGCUAAAGCGACAAUAUUCACAACAGGAACAAACAACGAAUCAACGGAUGAUGGGAAACGAUGGCGGCAUGGAUAUGAUAAGUCCGGGUCAGCGACAACGUAUGCAGCCCAUGACACCGCAACAAAUGCAACAGCAACAACAGCAGGCACAAUAUAGAGGACAAACGUUGAGUGGGGGUGGAGGAGGCAGCUCAACAGCGUAUCACACCGAUGAAGAUCCUAGAUUAUAUCAGGGAGAAAUUGAUGGUUUAAUGAAACAGCAUCCCCAUUUAGCACAUCCCAGUCAAAGACAGCAGCAACAAUAUCAGUAUCAACAACAGCAACAACAACAACAGCAGGCACAUCAUCAACAAUAUGGUAGCAGUCAACAAACACAACAUUCUAUGCGCUCUCAACAACAACAACAUUUACCACCCAAUGCUACAUCUUCCUCUAUCUCCUCCUAUUCCCAACACCAACAACAACAAAGGCUUCCAGUAUCUCAGCAAUCACAUCAUCCCCAUCAUUUGCAGUCAUCCUCGGCGACUGCAUUACAUCAUCCACAAUCGCAGCAUGCCUAUGGUUCAGCACAAAUGUCAUCAUCCUCUGCCGCCGCUUUAAAUACUCAGUUGCCAACGCCGCCUUUAGCCGGCCCCAUGUCGGCUUCUGUCCCCUCCGCCAGUGCGUCUCAGGGCUAUCAGAAACCUCCACCCAUACAACGGAAUCUAACCAUUAGUGGUGGUCAUGCCAUGGAUCCCACUACCUACAAUGCACGUCGCCAUCUGACCACUAGCACCCAACAACAACAGUAUCCCAUACAACAACAAAGAAGUUUCAAUACCUACGAAGAUGAGCUACCAACGAAACAAAUGCUUUCACAGCUUCAGACAUCAGCUGUUAAUGCUGCGCAACAGGCGCAGCAGCAACAACAGCAACAUCAAUAUGAGUUUGAAGCAUCUUUGCGUGUGGAACCCUGGCGUCAGCAACGAAGUCUUAACGAACGUGAUCUUUUAAGUGUAAGCAAUUCAUAUGCCUCGGACUACCAUCGAUUGUCGUCUAGCAAUCGUUUGUAUUCAUCAGCAGAUCGUGAUCGUUACGAUUUGCAUCGUGAAAGACUGGAAAAAUAUCCUUUAACACGUACAGCACGAUUGGAUGUACAACAGCGUAAUACGUUUAAUCGCUCUAAUCACGAUCGGCAAACAGUGGGUCUAAGUACGAGCCUUGAAGGUGGUCGAGUUGUAGGAGGAGGUCUUAGUGGUGGUAGUGAGACAUUUUAUGGUGUUAGAAGAGCUCCACCCUUGGCUACUGCUGCCUCGAGAGGUGUGGCUGGCAGCAACUAUACGCACAACCAUAAACAGCCACAAAUAGUUAUUGGCGACACUGCACAUACAUUGGCUUCUAAAGCGUCAUCAAACGCCACAUCUAUAUAUGAACGUUAUAUAGGCGGUAGUGCAACUAUGGCAUCAUUAACGGGAUCAACAGCUGAAGGGGCCACCACACGUAGCUUAAGUCGUGAACGUAACUUGGUAGAUGGUUAUCUGGAUGAAUUUCCCAGUCCUGGCUCAACGCUGUCGAAUAAAGCUCAAGAUUCACGCCGCUUUACGGAACGUAGAAUAAAGAAAACGGUACGUUUUGAUGCACAUGACGAUGAAGAUCCAUUAGUGCCAGGCCUAACGUCUCUACCGCCGGUCACCACCAUUUUACCUUCGACGGCGGUAGAUGUGGGCGUGGCCACAAUAUUGACCAGCGCCAAAUUGGGCGCCACUAACACUGCCACUAAUAAUAGUAGUUUAAGUGAUAAUGCCAAUAACUGGUCCCGCCAGUGGGACAGUGAGCGUCAGGGAAGUCAAGAUUCUGCAACCAAGGAUUCGGGUAUUGAUACCAGCAGUACCUUUACCAGUAGUGAAGAUUCCAAUCGUGGUGACGGCCUUAAGAUUGAUUUGCAAGAGCGUCGUUCAAGACGUGAUAUGUCACCUCAGGGCCGUAAAAGAGUGGCCGGCAUGGUAGCUCGUGAUUAUCGUACAGUUUCGGGCAUUGGACAAAGUUAUCACAAUCAGGCUCCUGGCGCACAAAGUGGUUACUUUCGUCGUAAUGGUACUACCACCACUGGUCCUGGUGGCAUGAGUCUUAGCCAACGUAGUCAUUCAGCUGCUCCAAGUGAUGCCUAUCAUAGCGGUUACUAUCGCAGUUCCAGUCCAAGACGUGGCUCAUUGUCACCGCCUGAGUAUAGAGGUCACGAUAUAGGCAGCAUACCACCUUAUAGUGGUGCCACCUCGAUAAUCACACCGUACGAUAGUGGGGUGGGAUCGUCGUCAUCACAGCAGCAACGUUUUCAAUCGCGCUCAGCGACUGCCACGCCGACUGGUUCGCCCAAAAAGAGACAACUGCCAAAGGUCCCCCAAACAUCACGCAGCGCUAUGAUACGUGAUCGCUUGGGUCAGGAGUUCGAUGAUCGUUUAACGUCUGGUAACGGUGGUGGUGGCCGUUUCGGACGACAUCGCACACGUCAGCCACAUCAUCAGCCAUUGUAUCGUAGUACCGGUGGCGGUGGCUGGGAACGUCAUUACACCGGUGCUUCGGACAGUGAUCUGCACUCGAUGGAAACUCGUAUGCGACCACGACAUUCCCUAUCGCCCGACAAAGAUUUUAUGGGCGAAUUCGGUGAUUCCGAUAUGGAGUCAGUUGUUAGUGUAACAUCAAGUUCUUUCUCCACACAAUCCGAAAGGCCACGAGGGUCAAGAGGUCUCAGUGAAUAUGUUGAUACAAAAGCUGAAGGCGGUGAUAAAAAGGAUGAUCCCAAUCAAAUACAGAGUGCUGAUGAAAAAGUCGAUGGCAGUUUAUCAGACACUGCCCAGGAUCGUAAAAAAGGUACUUUGGACCAAGAACGUUCGCCCAAAAGCGGUAGUGGCAUGGGUAAAAAAUCCAACUCCACCUCCCAACUAUCAGCAACAGACCAAAAUGAGGCACAAUAUAGCACUACAACCACCACCACCUCCACUACAACCAACAAUAACAACACCACCACCACCUCUAAUACAUCUCAUCAUCUUCAUCAAUUACAUCCAAUUCAUUAUCAACGUCAAUCGCGUGGUUCAGCUGGUAGUAUACAAAGAUCUGUUGAAGUUACACCAUCGACAUCUAUAAUGCAAUAUCGUGCCGGUAGUAUACAUUCAUUACCCAGCUCAGAAGCCUCAUCAUAUUCACCCACCAUUAGAGCCGAUGAACAAAUUAAUCAAUUUGUAGAGGGCUUGGGACCGGGACAAUUAGUUGGUCGCCAAGUAUUGGGGGCUCCUUCUUUGGGUGAUAUACAAUUGUCACUGUGCUGUCAGAAAAACUGUCUAGAAGUGGAGGUUAUAAGAGCUAGAGGUUUACAGCAAAAACCCACAUCCAAAAUGUUACCGGCUCCUUAUGUUAAAGUUUAUUUGGUUUCGGGCAAAAAAUGUAUAGAUAAAAUGAAGACAUCAACUGCUCGUCGUACUUUGGAACCAUUGUAUCAGCAGCAAUUGGUUUUUCAGCACUGCAAUACUAAAGGCUGUGUUUUACAAGUUACCGUUUGGGGUGAUUAUGGCCGCAUUGAAAAGAAAGUUUUUAUGGGCGUGGCUCAAAUAAUGCUGGAUCAGAUAGAUCUAUCGAAUGGCAUUGUAAUUGGCUGGUAUAAACUAUUCGGCACCACAUCACUGGGUCGUCCUAUUGUUUGGGCUGGCGAUACAAUAAUGGAAGAAGAUUGUGAAUAAUAUCUAAUAAUUGAAAAUAAUUGAAAAUCAAAUGAAUUUCGUACUUUAAUCACACAACACUUUAAGUAAGUAACAGGUACUUAACAAACAACUAGACUAAACGAGGUUGUGAUGUAACAAAAAAAAUGCAGCCCUCAAGAAUAAAUAACGGCCAAACGAAAUCUACACUAAACAUAAAAACACACGUUAACACCGUUUCACAAAAAUAUUAUAAACAUUUAUGAAAAGUAUCAGGAAUUGAUAACGCGAAAUGAUAACCUUUACAAAGGGCUGCCACAUUAGCAGCCAAUUAGUUAAAAACCAAAAGUAACGAAAAAAUACCAGAAGGAAACACAGAUACUCAAGAGU